This 440-nucleotide ribosomal RNA is filed under the name uncultured bacterium. RNAcentral describes it as "partial 16S ribosomal RNA". It matches the Rfam family "Bacterial small subunit ribosomal RNA", at positions 338 to 795 of the family's 1533-position model. The record is from RNAcentral.
CCUACGGGAGGCAGCAGUGGGGAAUAUUGCACAAUGGGGGAAACCCUGAUGCAGCGACGCCGCGUGAGCGAUGAAGUAUUUCGGUAUGUAAAGCUCUAUCAGCAGGGAAGAAAAUGACGGUACCUGACUAAGAAGCCCCGGCUAACUACGUGCCAGCAGCCGCGGUAAUACGUAGGGGGCAAGCGUUAUCCGGAUUUACUUGGUGUAAAGGGAGCGUAGACGGCGAUGCAAGCCAGAUGUGAAAGCCCUGGGCUCAACCCCGGGACUGCAUUUGGAAAUGUAUAGCGGGAGUGUCGGAGAGGCAGGCGGAAUUCCUAGUGUAGCGGUGAAAUGCGUAGAUAUUAGGAGGAACACCAGUGGCGAAGGCGGCCUGCUGGACGAUGACUGACGUUGAGGCUCGAAAGCGUGGGGAGCAAACAGGAGUAGAUACCCCAGUAGUC